GCAAGAUUCUCACCCGGUUGCAGGCUGCCCCGGGACGCUUCUUCAAUGUCCCUGGUGUCAGUGCGGGAUGGGAUAGUCAAGGUUGACCCGGAUCUUCCGGGUCCACGCCCAGAGUUGGAGCUCUGGGUCCUUUGAAUGCCUCGCGGCUUCAAAGAGAAGUCAAGUUUGAUUAAACCAUUGUUGUUGUCUUUCAAAAUCGGAGUUUUGUUCAAGUAGUCAACCUUAGAGUAGUGUUAGAAAAGAAGGAUGUAUUGCAAGAAACCUGGCCCAAGAAGACGAUGAAUAAUGUUUUUGGCGAAAACAUUAUUCAGUGAACUCGUUGAACCGAAUAGUCUUUCGCCCUGAAUGUUUGAAGAGGAUUCGGCCGCUCUGGAGCAGAUGAAGCAAGCGAGAGGUAUCAGGAAAAAUAUGGGGGAAUUCUUCUGGCUCCCGCCCUGUUCCCGCCCGACACUUAGAUCUUCUCUAGUCCUUUGCUUGCCAAUUUACAAUAGGUAUUCUUUUAUUUAGGGAUAGUCAAGGUUGACCCGGAUCUUCCGGGUCCACGCCCAGAGUUGGAGCUCUGGUCCUUUGAAUGCCUCGCGGCUUCAAAGAGAAGUCAAGUUUGAUUAAACUAUUGUUGUUGCUCUUUCAAAAUCGGAGUUUUGUUCAAGUAGUCAACCUUAGAGUAGUGUUAGAAAAGAAGGAUGUAUUGCAAGAAACCUGGCCCAAGAAGACGAUGAAUAAUGUUUUUGGCGAAAGACUAAUCGAACCAUCUAGUAGCUGGUUCCCUCCGAAGUUUCUCUCAGGAUAGCGGGCCGACACGAGUUGUUCUGUGUGGUAAAGCGAAUGAUUAGCGUAUUUGGGGACAGUAUGUCUUCUGGCGAUUCUCAAACUUUAAAUGCGCAGGGGUGUCGCUGCUUGGUUGAGCGGCACCGGCAAAAACGUCGGCCCUGUGGGCCACUUUUGGUAAGCAGAACUGGCGAUACGGGAUGAACCGUAAGCACGGUUAAGGCGCCCAAGUGCCCGCUUAUAGACCCCACAAAAGGCGUUGAUUCAUCGAGACAGCAGGACGGUGGCCAUGGAAGUCGGAAUCCGCUAAGGAGUGUGUAACAACUCACCUGCCGAAUGAAUUAGCCCUGAAAAUGGAUGGCGCUGAAGCGGGCUGCCGACACCGUGCCGUCUGGGCGAGAAAGGCCCCAGAUGAGUAGGAGGGCGUGGCGGCCGUAUCGAAGCACGCGUGCAAACGCGUGUGGAACGGCCGCUAGUGCAGAUCUUGGUGGUAGUAGCAAGUAUUCAAGCGAGAUCCUUGAAGGGCGAAGCGGGGAAGGGUUCCACGCGAACAUUGAUUGGGCGUGGUGAGUCGUUCCUAAGCCGAGUGGCGAUUGCUAAGUAGCGGCGAAAGGGAAGCGGGUUGAAAUUCCCGCACACGGAUGUGGACGCGGUGACGCGAGUGAUGGGGCGAAGACGCUGGCGACGGCGCUGGGCAGAGUUGUCUUUUCUGUUUGACCAGUUUGCGCGCGCGGUGUGGAAUCCGCUUGUCGGGAGAAACACGCGUGUGCGGGCAGAGCGCCGGGGCUUUUCCGGCGUCCAGCUCGCCGUCGACGGCCCUUGAAAAUUUGCCUGCUGAAAAUCUUUGAUUUGAAAUCCACGCCGUGGCGUACCGAUCACCGCAUCAGGUCCCCAAGGUGAACAGCCUCUGCUCAGUAUGAAUAAUGCAGGUAAGGGAAGUCGGCAAAUUAGACCCGUAACUUUGGGAAAAGGGUUGGCUCUAGUGCUGCGUGGGAGUGGUUGCCGGGUUCUGGCGCGCGCGGCUGUGCGGCUCUCGGCGCGGGACCUCGCAAGGGGACCUGUGCCGUGCCGCUGAGUCUGCGCGCCGCCACGCCUGGCGACGCCCACGGCAUGCAGCAGACUAGAACUGCAACGGGCAAAGGGAAUCCGACUGUUUAAUUAAAACAAAGCAUUGCGAGGGCCGUGGCCGGUGAUGACGCAAUGUGAUUUCUGCUCAGUGCUCUGAAUGUCAAAGUGAAGAGAUUCAAUCAAGCGCGGGUAAACAGCGGGAGUAACUAUGACUCUCUUAAGGUAGCCAAAUGCCUCGUCAUCUAAUUAGUGACGCGCAUGAAUGGAUUAACGAGAUUCCUACUGUCCCUAUCUGCUUCUAGCGAAACCACAGCCGAGGGAACGGGCUCGGCAGAAUCGGCGGGGAAAGAAGACCCUGUUGAGCUUGACUCUAUUCUAAUUUUGUGAAGCAAGUUGGGAGGUGUAGCAUAGGUGGGAGCGCUCACGCGCGGCCGUGAAAUACCACUACUCCCAGUCUUGCUUUACUUACUGGGUUGGUGUGGAUGGGCGCUUGUACCGCCCGAUUCUGGAACCAACGCCGGGCGCUUUGCGCCUGCGGACCACAGCCCAGGACAGAUUAGGAGGGGAGUUUGGCUGGGGCGGCACAUCUUCUACAAGACAACGAAGGUGUCCAAAGAUGAGCUCAGUGAGAACAGAAAUCUCACGUAGCGCAAAAGGGUAAAAGCUCGUUUGAUUUCGAUUUUCAGUGCGAGUCGAAACGCGAAAGCGUGGCCUAUCGAUCCUUUCACGAUUCGAGAUUUGAAGCGAGAGGUGUCAGAAAAGUUACCACAGGAUAACUGGCUUGUGGCGGCCAAGCGUUCAUAGCGACGUCGCUUUUUGAUCCUUCGAUGUCGGCUCUUCCUAUCAUUGUGUAGCAGAAUACACCAAGUGUCGGAUUGUUCACCCGCCAACAGGGAACGUGAGCUGGGUUUAGACCGUCGUGAGACAGGUUAGUUUUAUCCUACGAUGAUUCGUUGUCGCGCCAGUAAUUCAAGGCAGUACGAGAGGAACGCUUGAUUCAGAUCACUGGCUCAUGCAGCUGCACGACCCUGCAUUGCUGCGACCCUACCAUCUGAAUGAUCAGAAAGGCUGAGAGAGUCUAAGCCUGGAUCGGUCCUGUUCAGCGACAACUCCGUGUUUUUGCAUCCGUCGGGCGCACGUCCGCAUAGCCGCAAGGCCAGCACCAUUCCAAUUGAUAAACUCCGCAGUGCAAAAGUCGAAUCACUUGCAGAUGACCGGGUUGGAACCAGAGUGUGUAAGUAUUUGAGUAGCCUUUGUUGCUACGAUUUGCUGAGCAUAUCUGU
Molecule: ribosomal RNA, 3119 nt
Filed under: Kappaphycus alvarezii
Lineage: Eukaryota; Rhodophyta; Florideophyceae; Gigartinales; Solieriaceae
Description: eukaryotic LSU rRNA
Rfam family: Eukaryotic large subunit ribosomal RNA (bases 586-3119)
Source: RNAcentral